AAAUAAGAAGCAAUUUGCAUUUAAUUUCGACUUAAAAGAUAGGGAUUUUUCCCCUUAUUUA
Molecule: transfer RNA, 61 nt
Filed under: Pyralis farinalis
Lineage: Eukaryota; Metazoa; Arthropoda; Insecta; Lepidoptera; Pyralidae
Description: tRNA-Arg
Source: RNAcentral